This 215-nucleotide long non-coding RNA is filed under the name Gossypium barbadense (sea-island cotton). RNAcentral's name for it is "long non-coding RNA (GBAR_LNC012118)". The record is from RNAcentral. Lineage: Eukaryota; Viridiplantae; Streptophyta; Magnoliopsida; Malvales; Malvaceae.
AUCAGUGGAAUCAAAAGUUACAAAGGCACUAGAGGUAUUGGUAUUCAUGAUCAUGGCUCUCGAAGACGAGCAAUGGCUUUCCAAGGAAUACUAAAUUACUUGAAUAAACUAAAUAAUUCAUGCUAUAAUUCCUUGAAGAAAUCACCACGACAGAGCUGAAAUUUCCAAAACAAUAAUUUUCUUCUACGAGAAAGGAAAAUAGUUAUGCAGUAGCG